UGAACGCUGGCGGUAUGCUUAACACAUGCAAGUCGAACGGUAACAGGCAAAGCUUGCUUUGCGCUGACGAGUGGCGGACGGGUGAGUAACGCGUGGGAAUCUGCCUUAUAGUGGGGGAUAGCCCGGAGAAAUCCGGAUUAAUACCGCAUACGCCCUACGGGGGAAAGCCGGGGAUCUUCGGACCUGGCGCUAUUAGAUGAGCCCGCGUUAGAUUAGCUUGUUGGUGGGGUAAUGGCCUACCAAGGCAACGAUCUAUAGCUGGUCUGAGAGGACGAUCAGCCACACUGGGACUGAGACACGGCCCAGACUCCUACGGGAGGCAGCAGUGGGGAAUAUUGCACAAUGGGCGCAAGCCUGAUGCAGCAAUACCGCGUGUGUGAAGAAGGCCUGCGGGUUGUAAAGCACUUUCAAUUGUGAAGAAAUGCUCAUAGCUAAUACCUAUGAGUCUUGACAUUAGCAAUACAAGAAGCACCGGCUAACUCC
This 483-nucleotide ribosomal RNA is filed under the name uncultured bacterium. Its description in RNAcentral is "bacterial SSU rRNA". It matches the Rfam family "Bacterial small subunit ribosomal RNA", at positions 30 to 504 of the family's 1533-position model. The record is from RNAcentral.